UACGGAGGAUCCAAGCGUUAUCCGGAAUCAUUGGGUUUAAAGGGUCCGUAGGCGGCCUUAUAAGUCAGUGGUGAAAUCCCAUCGCUCAACGAUGGAACUGCCAUUGAUACUGUAGGGCUUGAAUUAUUGUGAAGUAACUAGAAUAUGUAGUGUAGCGGUGAAAUGCUUAGAUAUUACAUGGAAUACCAAUUGCGAAGGCAGGUUACUAACAAUUGAUUGACGCUGAUGGACGAAAGCGUGGGGAGCGAACAGGAUUAGAUACCCUGGUAGUCCACGCCGUAAACGAUGGAUACUAGCUGUUCGGAGCAAUCUGAGUGGCUAAGCGAAAGUGAUAAGUAUCCCACCUGGGGAGUACGCACGCAAGUGUGAA
This 370-nucleotide ribosomal RNA is filed under the name uncultured bacterium. RNAcentral describes it as "bacterial SSU rRNA". It matches the Rfam family "Bacterial small subunit ribosomal RNA", at positions 524 to 898 of the family's 1533-position model. The record is from RNAcentral.